Molecule: ribosomal RNA, 880 nt
Filed under: Cytobacillus horneckiae
Lineage: Bacteria; Bacillati; Bacillota; Bacilli; Caryophanales; Bacillaceae
Description: bacterial SSU rRNA
Rfam family: Bacterial small subunit ribosomal RNA
Source: RNAcentral
GCUAUACUGCAGUCGAGCGAUCUGAGGGAGCUUGCUCCCAAGAUUAGCGGCGGACGGGUGAGUAACACGUGGGCAACCUGCCUGUAAGACUGGGAUAACUUCGGGAAACCGGAGCUAAUACCGGAUAAUCCCUUUCCUCACAUGAGGAAAGGCUGAAAGACGGUUUCGGCUGUCACUUACAGAUGGGCCCGCGGCGCAUUAGCUAGUUGGUGAGGUAACGGCUCACCAAGGCCACGAUGCGUAGCCGACCUGAGAGGGUGAUCGGCCACACUGGGACUGAGACACGGCCCAGACUCCUACGGGAGGCAGCAGUAGGGAAUCUUCCGCAAUGGACGAAAGUCUGACGGAGCAACGCCGCGUGAGUGAUGAAGGUUUUCGGAUCGUAAAACUCUGUUGUUAGGGAAGAACAAGUAUCGGAGUAACUGCCGGUACCUUGACGGUACCUAACCAGAAAGCCACGGCUAACUACGUGCCAGCAGCCGCGGUAAUACGUAGGUGGCAAGCGUUGUCCGGAAUUAUUGGGCGUAAAGCGCGCGCAGGUGGUUCCUUAAGUCUGAUGUGAAAGCCCACGGCUCAACCGUGGAGGGUCAUUGGAAACUGGGGAACUUGAGUGCAGAAGAGGAAAGUGGAAUUCCAAGUGUAGCGGUGAAAUGCGUAGAGAUUUGGAGGAACACCAGUGGCGAAGGCGACUUUCUGGUCUGUAACUGACACUGAGGCGCGAAAGCGUGGGGAGCGAACAGGAUUAGAUACCCUGGUAGUCCACGCCGUAAACGAUGAGUGCUAAGUGUUAGAGGGUUUCCGCCCUUUAGUGCUGCAGCAAACGCAUUAAGCACUCCGCCUGGGGAGUACGACCGCAAGGUUGAAACUCAAAGGAAUUGAC